UACUCUUAAGCCUCAUCAAGUAUAGUGGCAGUGUCCAUCCUUGUAGAAACCCAUGGCAUCAGUUCUCUUAAGCAUUUCACCCUCCCAGUGAUUCUCUGUCGUGUAAGAAGCGAAGCUGAUGAAGAAGACGACCCAGUACCAUGAUCAAAAGCAGACGGCUUCAUUUGGUUUCAUCAUCUGGGCCGACCUUAAUUUUCAGUUUCUCGGAAACAACCACGAGGAUUUCAAUCACCGACUCAAGAGUCUGCGCGUUUCUCAAAACAGAUUGAGUUGUUGUUGCUGUUGACUUGAGUUAUGAGAGGCAGUAGUGGUUGGUAACUGUCAUAACUGUAAAUAAGAAAAGGGCAUGUGACGAAAGUUAGUUAGUUGGGUCAGAGUUGUUGAUUGUUAGUUAGAAAGUCUGUUGAGAUAGUUAGGAGGC
Molecule: long non-coding RNA, 421 nt
Filed under: Populus trichocarpa (black cottonwood)
Lineage: Eukaryota; Viridiplantae; Streptophyta; Magnoliopsida; Malpighiales; Salicaceae
Description: long non-coding RNA (PTRI_LNC004718)
Source: RNAcentral